UACGUAGGGUGCGAGCGUUGUCCGGAAUUACUGGGCGUAAAGCGUGCGCAGGCGGUUCGUUGUGUCUGUGGUGAAAGCCCCGGGCUUAACCUGGGAAUGGCCAUGGAAACUGGCGGGCUGGAGUAUGGCAGAGGGGGGUGGAAUUCCGCGUGUAGCAGUGAAAUGCGUAGAGAUGCGGAGGAACACCGAUGGCGAAGGCAGCCCCCUGGGCCAAUACUGACGCUCAGGCACGAAAGCGUGGGGAGCAAACAGG
This 253-nucleotide ribosomal RNA is filed under the name uncultured bacterium. RNAcentral's name for it is "partial 16S ribosomal RNA". It matches the Rfam family "Bacterial small subunit ribosomal RNA", at positions 524 to 776 of the family's 1533-position model. The record is from RNAcentral.